GGUCCCGGUGCUGCAAGUUCAGCUUGGUAAACCUGCAACUUUUCUAUGUGCUUUACCAAAGUUUAGGUUUACCCAAAGAGAAAUCUACUGGUACAAACAGAGUCCUGGGGAUAAUUUGAGUCUGAUAGUUAAACUGAUCAUAAAACACCAAAAAUCAACAAUCUCCAAAGUUGGAACACAGUUGUCUGAACUAAGAUGGAAGACUAAUAAUAACAAAGAAAUGUCCAUUCUGACAAUUUUAACGAUAAAACAAGAGGAUUUUGGAAUGUAUCACUGUGCAAUUAAGGCUUCAAAUGGAAAUCCUGAAUGGAGUGCAACAAUUUUGAUAAUAAAAGGACAUAAUGCAGGGACUUUAAACCAUAAUGUUGUUCAAUGGCCAACUGCACCAGAUCCAGUCAAUGCACAAGACUCAAUGAUAAUGCAAUGUUCAGCUCUUUCUGAUGUUGAGAACAAGAUGUGUCCAGAAGAUAUCAGCAUGCUCUGGUUCACUACAAAAUCAGAGAAUUGUCAUCCAGAAAUCAACCAUACUGAUGGGAAUAGAUGUAAUCAAUUUACGAGGUCAGAUUCUCCACUGAAUUGUUUUCAUCACUUUUUUAACAAUGUCAUCUCCUCUGAUGGUGCAAAUGUUUACUGCACUGUUCCAUUAUGUGGAGCGAUACUGUUUGGAAAUGCAACGAAACUAGAAGCUGAGAAAGCAUUUACCAUUGAAAUCCCUGUCCUGUUUAUUGGAGUGACUUCACUAAUCAUUUCUGUGAUUGUAAAUAUUGCAUUCCUCUGUUACCUAGCUCCCAGGGCAGUAGAUAGACUAUUUAAAAGAGGCUCUUUUAAAGCAAGAGAUAAUACCAUCAAGCAAACUGCAGAAAGACAGGUCGAAGAAGAUGAUGCCAACUAUGCAGCAUUACAUUUCUCUGAAAGAAAAGAAAGAAAGAGAGGAAAGAAAAUUGUGGAAAUGAACAUGGAAGAAAGUGUGUAUUCUCAGAUAAAACUCUGAUAAUGAAUACAUAUCCACGAGAAUCUCUGGGCUUGUUUGUGAAUUUUCCUUUCAGACUCAAGAAAAGCAUGCUUCCUCGAAAUUCUAGGGUCAUUCCCACAGUUUUUCUUUUACCCUCAUCAUUGUUCAGCAAAUAUGGUUGUGUAUAGUCUUGUACACCAGAUUAGAUUCAAAUAAUGGAAAUUGCGGUCUGGCAUACAAGAAAAAUCCCGCUUGAAAGCAUUUGUCUAUUGUUUGACGUUCUUGAAGCUGUUGUUUUUGUUAUAGAGGGGGCUGUCCCAGGGUCAUCCUGUUCCAUAUCUCUGGGUUGAAAAAUAGUGAUCUUGCAUGCUGCAUCUGCGUUAUCGCAGACAGCUGAGUCUAGUUAAAUUUUUAUCGACCGUAUUUAAGACGGAAA
Long non-coding RNA from Fundulus heteroclitus (mummichog), 1388 nucleotides. RefSeq lists it as uncharacterized. The transcript has 5 exons. Lineage: Eukaryota; Metazoa; Chordata; Actinopteri; Cyprinodontiformes; Fundulidae. The record is from RefSeq and is a predicted model, not a curated record.